UCGGGAAUCUUGCGCAAUGGGCGAAAGCCUGACGCAGCAACGCCGUGUGAGUGACGAAGGCCUUCGGGUCGUAAAGCUCUGUUGUUGGGGACGAAGGGUUAGGGGUUAAUAGCCCCGAGCCUGACGGUACCCUUCGAGGAAGCCCCGGCUAACUACGUGCCAGCAGCCGCGGUAAUACGUAGGGGGCGAGCGUUGUCCGGAAUUAUUGGGCGUAAAGAGCGUGUAGGCGGCUCGGUAAGUCCGCCGUGAAAACCUGGGGCUCAACCCCGGGCGUGCGGUGGAUACUGCUGGGCUAGAGGGUGGUAGAGGCGAGUGGAAUUCCCGGUGUAGCGGUGAAAUGCGCAGAUAUCGGGAGGAACACCAGUAGCGAAGGCGGCUCGCUGGGCCACACCUGACGCUGAGACGCGAAAGCGUGGGGAGCAAACAGGAUUAGAUACCCUGGUAGUCCACGCCGUAAACGAUGGACACUAGGUGUGGGCGGAGUCGAAUCUGUCUGUGCCGAAGCCAACGCGUUAAGUGUCCCGCCUGGGGAGUACGGCC
This 540-nucleotide ribosomal RNA is filed under the name uncultured bacterium. RNAcentral describes it as "bacterial SSU rRNA". It matches the Rfam family "Bacterial small subunit ribosomal RNA", at positions 355 to 887 of the family's 1533-position model. The record is from RNAcentral.